GCGCCUGUAGCUCAGUGGAUAGAGCGCCUGUCUCCGGAACAGGAGGUCGCAAGUUCAAUCCUUGCCAGGCGUACCA
Molecule: transfer RNA, 76 nt
Filed under: Pyrinomonadaceae bacterium
Lineage: Bacteria; Pseudomonadati; Acidobacteriota; Blastocatellia; Blastocatellales; Pyrinomonadaceae
Description: tRNA-Arg
Rfam family: tRNA
About the family: Transfer RNA (tRNA) molecules are approximately 80 nucleotides in length.
Source: RNAcentral